GUAUACGCACAUUAAGGGUGGAUGGCGGAUGCCUAGACACCAUAAAGCGAUGAAGGACGUAGCGUAGCUGCGAUAAGCUUCGGUGAGGUGCGUAGCAACCUGUGACCCGAAGAUCUCCGAAUGGGGAAACCCAAUUGCGCAACCCGCAAUUAUCUUUGAUGUAACAGUCAGAGGAGCGUACCUGGGGAAGUGAAACAUCUCAGUACCCAGAGGAAUAAAGACAAAUCCUCGCAAGAGGAAUGCAUUCCCUUAGUAGCGGCGAGCGAACAGGGAGGAGCCUAAACCAUAUGAGAUUCGCGCAAGCGUUUUUUGUAGGGGGUUGUAAGAUAGAAACACUUCUUAGGUUUUUAACUUCCGAUAAUUUUCCGGGAAGUUAAAAGCUUGAGAGAAAGAGUAAAAAAUUUGCUGGCUAGCUGAAGCCGCUGGAAAGCGGCGCCAAAGCAGGUGAUAGCCCUGUAGGCGAAAGCGGGCAAACUCUUCGUUUUUAAUCUUGAGUACCUCGAGGCCAAAUAACUUCGAGGGAACCAGGGAGUACUAUCUCCUAAGGCUAAAUAUUUAUGGUGAUCGAUAGUGAACUAGUACCGUGAGGGAAAGGUGAAAAGCAGGCCGGGAGGCCGUUGAAAUAAUACCUGAAACCAUCCACUUACAAGGAACCAGAGCCCGCAAGGGUGAUGGUGUGCCUAUUGAAGAAUGAUCCAACGAGUUUAUAUGUAUUACAAAGUCUAAUCUCCUGAAGGGAGAGAAGGCGUAGCGAAAGCGAGUCUGAAUAGGGCGUUACAUUCCUUAUGACGUUUGACGGGGAUUUCCCGUCGCACGUCAUAGGCUUUGUUAGUAGUACGUGUAAGACCCGAAACCAAACGAGCUUGUCUUGGCCAGGGUGAAGUUCGCAGAAAUGCGAAUGGAGGCCCGCACCGGUACAUCGUUCAACAUGUUCGGAUGAGCUGGGACAAGGAGUGAAAAGCUAAUCGAGUUUGGUAAUAGCUGGUUCUCUCCGAAAUAGUUUUAGGACUAGCCUCGUAUGUUUCCGCCCGGAGGUAGAGCACUGGACGAUUUGUAAAGGCCGAAAGGCCGACAGAUCAAUCAAACUCCGAAUGCCGGGUGGCUAAGUACGGGAGUCAGACUGCGGGGGCUAAGCUUCGUGGUCGUAAGGGGAACAGCCCAGAUCGCCGUCUAAGGUCCCUAAAUCUUUGCUGAGUGUGAAAGGUAGUCAUUAACCAUAAACAGAUAGGAGGUUUGCUCAGAGGUAGCCAUCCUUUAAAGAGUGUGUAACAACUCACUAUUCGAGGUUAGUGGCGCCGAAAAUUUAUCGGGGCUAAGCAAAGUACCGAAGACGCGAAUACGUGGACUUCAUAGAGGAAAAAAUUUCCUCAAAAUUGUGAGGGUGAACAAGGGAGACACGCUCUUGUUUUAGAAAGGUUAUCCUUUCCCCUCACCCUAUUUGACCAGGCAAAUCAAAAUAUCAGAUUUGCCUCCUCUAUGAAGUCCAUGUGUGGUAGGAGAGCAUUUCUCAUGCAGUGAAGCAGCAGCCGCGAGGCGCUGUGGAGCGUGGGGAAGGGAAAAUGUUGGAAUGAGUAAUCGCAAAUCUCGUGAAAACCGAGAUCCCCGCAAAUCCAAGGUUUCCUCCGCAACGAAAAUCGACGGAGGGUAAGGCGGCCCUAAGGCAAUGACAAACGUCGCAGCCGAAGGACAGCUGGUUAAUACUCCAGCCCGCCGCAUGGAAGAUACCGAUGGAGUGACGAAUGAAAUAAUCUUGAGCGUCUUAUUGGUUUGACGUUCUUUGCCGCGAGAGGCGCUGUUUUGGGAAAUCCGGGCAGCUGUCUUUAAUGACGAUCCUCGACGGUCGAGAAAAGGUUUCGGUAUUACCGGAAUCGAUUUAAGAGAAGAGCGUUCCGAGAAAAACUUCUAAGGUGCGUCCGUGUGGCUCCGUACCGUAAACCGCCACAGGUGGAUGAGGCGAGUAGCCUCAGGGGAACGGGUGAUUCUUCGUUAAGGAACUCGGCAAAAAAGCUAGGCGUAACUUAGGAAUAUGCCUCGCCUUCGUCCGCAAGGAUGGAAGGCCUCAGCUAAAGUUUAUUUGGCGACUGUUUACCAAAAACACAACUCCCUGCGAACUCGAAAGAGGAUGUAUAGGGGGUGACACCUGACCGAUGCGAGAAGGUUAACGGUGGGGGUGCGGGCCGCAAGGUUCGUGCUCACCGCCCGAAGCCCUCGUCAAUGUCCGCGGUAACUAUAACCGUGUUAAAGUAGCGCAAUUCCUUUUCGGGUAAGUUCCGAAGCGCAUGAAAGGUGUAACGAUCAAAUAACUGUCUCAACGAAGAGCCCGAUGAAAAUGCGAUCCCCGUGAAGACGCGGGAUACCGGCAGCUAGACGAAAAGACCCCGGAAGCUUUACUGUAGCUUGGUAUUGUUACUAAUGGUCUGUUGCGUAGCGUAGUGGGUAGACUUUGAAGGUUCGAUUUCGGUUGGACUGGAGUCAACAAUGAAACACCCAUCUUUAGAUUGUUAGUAACUAACCUGCGUGGAAAAACCAUGCGGGAACAGUGCCUGGCGGGCAGUUUUUCUGGGGCAGAACCCUCCCAAAGCGUAAUGGAGGGGCCUAUUAAGGUUGGCUUAGCGCGGAUGGAAAUCGCGCUGGACGUGUAAAGGCACAAGCCAGCUUGACUGCAAGACUUACAAGUCGCGCAGGUGCGAAAGCAGAGCUUAGCGACCCGACGAUCCUUCAUAGGAAGGUCGGAGACAACGGCUAAAAGUUACUCCGGGGAUAACAGGCUGGUGAGAUCCGAGAGUCCCUAUCGACGAUCUCGCUCGGCACCUCGAUGUCGGCUCACCACAUCCCGGGGCUGGAGAAGGUCCCAAGGGUUUGGCUGUUCGCCAAUUAAAGUGGUACGUGAGCUGGGUUCAAACCGUUGAUGUGCUAAUCAAAAUUCUAUGCGGAAAAAUACGAUUGGCGCAUGAACGGUUUGAGUCCAGAACUCAAACAUCGAUUAUUGUUUUUGUCUUUUCGUUUAUGAAAAAGUUAUAGCAGAUGAAUCAAGUCACGGCGGUUAUAUAGGGUAACCUAUAUAUACCAAGCUAACUAAUAUCGGUGAAACCCAUCGCUGGGGCAAUACCGAGGGAAAUCUUUUUAAGAUGCCCGUAGAGACUAGACGUUAGCCCCCCGAUUUAUUUCGGGACGAAGAUAUAGUCCUAUGCACGCAGUAAUGCGUGGUAACAUGCGUGAGACAGGUUGGUCUCUAUCUGCUGUCGGCGUGGAUACUUGAGGGAAGUCGUCUCUAGUACGAGAGGACCGAGAUGAACGAACCUCUGGUCUACCGGCUUUGGUACCAACUGAAGCGCCGGGUAGCUAUGUUCGGACGGGAUAAGCGCUGAAAGCAUCUAAGCGCGAAGCCUCUCCCAAGAUUAGGUAUCAUGAGUCCGUUGAAGACUACGACGUUGAUAGGCUCUAGGUGUAAGCGCGGUAACGCGUUAAGCCGAGGAGUACUAAUAGACUCACGCGUAUGCUC
RNAcentral lists this ribosomal RNA (3502 nucleotides) under Candidatus Jorgensenbacteria bacterium. Its description in RNAcentral is "23S ribosomal RNA". It matches the Rfam family "Bacterial large subunit ribosomal RNA". Lineage: Bacteria; Candidatus Joergenseniibacteriota. The record is from RNAcentral.